GUGGCUGUCUCUCUGACUGUGGCUCUGAGCAGUGUGGCACAGCCCGAGACACCACGCAGAGCAAGGCUGGUUCCUGCCGACAGGGCCUGUCAAGGCAUUGGGCUUCCUGUGCGAUGGUUCCAUACAGC
Molecule: non-coding RNA, 128 nt
Organism: Anguilla rostrata (American eel)
Lineage: Eukaryota; Metazoa; Chordata; Actinopteri; Anguilliformes; Anguillidae
Source: RefSeq, a predicted model, not a curated record